Molecule: ribosomal RNA, 539 nt
Filed under: uncultured bacterium
Lineage: Bacteria
Description: bacterial SSU rRNA
Rfam family: Bacterial small subunit ribosomal RNA
Source: RNAcentral
AAUAGAUACCCUGGUAGUCCACGCCGUAAACGAUGAGUGCUAGGUGUUAGGGGGGUCCAACCCCUUAGUGCUGAAGUUAACACAUUAAGCACUCCGCCUGGGGAGUACGACCGCAAGGUUGAAACUCAAAGGAAUUGACGGGGGCCCGCACAAGCAGUGGAGCAUGUGGUUUAAUUCGAAGCAACGCGAAGAACCUUACCAGGUCUUGACGUCCUCUGACAACCCUAGAGAUAGGGCGUUCCCCUUCGGGGGACAGAGUGACAGGUGGUGCAUGGUUGUCGCCAGCUCGUGUCGUGAGAUGUUGGGUUAAGUCCCGCAACGAGCGCAACCCUUGAUGUUAGUUGCCAGCAUUCAGUUGGGCACUCUAACGUGACUGCCGGUGACAAACCGGAGGAAGGUGGGGAUGACGUCAAAUCAUCAUGCCCCUUAUGACCUGGGCUACACACGUGCUACAAUGGGCGGUACAAAGGGCAGCGAAACCGCGAGGUGGAGCCAAUCCCAUAAAGCCGCUCUCAGUUCGGAUUGCAGGCUGCAACUCG